CAUGAUGCUGCUCAAGUUACUGAAGAAGCUGAUGCUGACAAAGAAGUAUUAUCUGAAGAAGCUGGAGCAUCCGAAUAGCUUUUUAAU
This 87-nucleotide microRNA precursor is filed under the name Schmidtea mediterranea. RNAcentral describes it as "microRNA sme-mir-2201 precursor". Lineage: Eukaryota; Metazoa; Platyhelminthes; Tricladida; Dugesiidae. The record is from miRBase by way of RNAcentral.